GUUCGAAAGCGUGGGUAGCAAACAGGAUUAGAUACCCUGGUAGUCCACGCCGUAAACGAUGUCUACUAGUCGUUGGGUCCCUUGAGGACUUAGUGACGCAGCUAACGCAAUAAGUAGACCGCCUGGGGAGUACGGCCGCAAGGUUAAAACUCAAAUGAAUUGACGGGGGCCCGCACAAGCGGUGGAGCAUGUGGUUUAAUUCGAUGCAACGCGAAGAACCUUACCUGGUCUUGACAUAUCUAGAAUCCUGCAGAGAUGCGGGAGUGCCUUCGGGAAUUAGAAUACAGGUGCUGCAUGGCUGUCGUCAGCUCGUGUCGUGAGAUGUUGGGUUAAGUCCCGCAACGAGCGCAACCCUUGUCCUUAGUUACCAGCGGGUUAAGCCGGGAACUCUAAGGAUACUGCCAGUGACAAACUGGAGGAAGGCGGGGACGACGUCAAGUCAUCAUGGCCCUUACGACCAGGGCUACACACGUGCUACAAUGGUAGGUACAGAGGGCAGCUACACAGCGAUGUGAUGCGAAUCUUUCAAAGCCUAUCGUAGUCCAGAUUGGAGUCUGCAACUCGACUCCAUGAAGUAGGAAUCGCUAGUAAUCGCGGAUCAGAAUGCCGCGGUGAAUACGUUCCCGGGCCUUGUACACACCGCCCGUCACACCAUGGGAGUUGAUUGCACCAGAAGUGGUUAGCCUAACUUAGUGAGGGCGAUCACCACGGUGUGGUCGAUGACUGGGGUGAAGUCGUAACAAGGUAGCCGUAGGGGAACCUGCGGCUG
RNAcentral lists this ribosomal RNA (769 nucleotides) under uncultured bacterium. Its description in RNAcentral is "bacterial SSU rRNA". It matches the Rfam family "Bacterial small subunit ribosomal RNA", at positions 751 to 1520 of the family's 1533-position model. The record is from RNAcentral.